Molecule: ribosomal RNA, 1171 nt
Filed under: Salmonella enterica subsp. enterica serovar Newport
Lineage: Bacteria; Pseudomonadati; Pseudomonadota; Gammaproteobacteria; Enterobacterales; Enterobacteriaceae
Description: partial 23S ribosomal RNA
Rfam family: Bacterial large subunit ribosomal RNA
Source: RNAcentral
GAACCGUUAUAACCGGCGAUUUCCGAAUGGGGAAACCCAGUGUGAUUCGUCACACUAUCAUUAACUGAAUCCAUAGGUUAAUGAGGCGAACCGGGGGAACUGAAACAUCUAAGUACCCCGAGGAAAAGAAAUCAACCGAGAUUCCCCCAGUAGCGGCGAGCGAACGGGGAGGAGCCCAGAGCCUGAAUCAGCAUGUGUGUUAGUGGAAGCGUCUGGAAAGGCGCGCGAUACAGGGUGACAGCCCCGUACACAAAAGCGCAUGUGCUGUGAGCUCGAUGAGUAGGGCGGGACACGUGGUAUCCUGUCUGAAUAUGGGGGGACCAUCCUCCAAGGCUAAAUACUCCUGACUGACCGAUAGUGAACCAGUACCGUGAGGGAAAGGCGAAAAGAACCCCGGCGAGGGGAGUGAAAAAGAACCUGAAACCGUGUACGUACAAGCAGUGGGAGCACAGGUUUACCUGUGUGACUGCGUACCUUUUGUAUAAUGGGUCAGCGACUUAUAUUCUGUAGCAAGGUUAACCGAAUAGGGGAGCCGGAGGGAAACCGAGUCUUAAUUGGGCGUUAAGUUGCAGGGUAUAGACCCGAAACCCGGUGAUCUAGCCAUGGGCAGGUUGAAGGUUGGGUAACACUAACUGGAGGACCGAACCGACUAAUGUUGAAAAAUUAGCGGAUGACCUGUGGCUGGGGGUGAAAGGCCAAUCAAACCGGGAGAUAGCUGGUUCUCCCCGAAAGCUAUUUAGGUAGCGCCUCGUGAAUUCAUCUCCGGGGGUAGAGCACUGUUUCGGCUAGGGGGCCAUCCCGGCUUACCAACCCGAUGCAAACUGCGAAUACCGGAGAAUGUUAUCACGGGAGACACACGGCGGGUGCUAACGUCCGUCGUGAAGAGGGAAACAACCCAGACCGCCAGCUAAGGUCCCAAAGUCAUGGUUAAGUGGGAAACGAUGUGGGAAGGCCCAGACAGCCAGGAUGUUGGCUUAGAAGCAGCCAUCAUUUAAAGAAAGCGUAAUAGCUCACUGGUCGAGUCGGCCUGCGCGGAAGAUGUAACGGGGCUAAACCAUGCACCGAAGCUGCGGCAGCGAACGUAUCACUUAAAGCGAUUCAGCGGGUUACGAUUGACGGAGCGAAGCGACGUCAAAGCGUAUACAAAGUCGAGUCGGUUUAAGGAUACGUU